ACAUGUACUCAGUCUAACUUCUACUGACUUUCAUUCCCCUUCUCUCCAAAACAUAUCUCCACCUCUCCAGACUAGACUCAACUUUCUCUCUACUCUCGCUACAGAUCACAAUGCAAUCUGAAAA
Long non-coding RNA from Thalassophryne amazonica, 124 nucleotides. RefSeq lists it as uncharacterized. The record is from RefSeq and is a predicted model, not a curated record. NCBI's taxonomy places the organism in Eukaryota, Metazoa, Chordata, Actinopteri, Batrachoidiformes, Batrachoididae. The transcript has 3 exons.